Molecule: ribosomal RNA, 635 nt
Filed under: Kondoa sp. TUB ZP352
Lineage: Eukaryota; Fungi; Basidiomycota; Agaricostilbomycetes; Agaricostilbales; Kondoaceae
Description: LSU rRNA
Rfam family: Eukaryotic large subunit ribosomal RNA
Source: RNAcentral
UCAAUAAGCGGAGGAAAAGAAACUAACAAGGAUUCCCCUAGUAACGGCGAGUGAAGUGGGAAAAGCUCAACUUUGUAAUCUGGCUGUUUUACAGUCCGAGUUGUAGUCUAGAGAAGCGUUAUCCGUGCCAGCCCUUAUACAUGUUUGUUGGAAUACAACGUCAAAGAGGGUGAGAAUCCCGUAUUUGAUAAGGCGCUUGUGUACAUUGUGAUACGUUUUCAAAGAGUCGAGUUGUUUGGGAAUGCAGCUCAAAUCGGGUGGUAAAUUCCAUCUAAAGCUAAAUAUUGGCGAGAGACCGAUAGCGAACAAGUACCGUGAGGGAAAGAUGAAAAGCACUUUGGAAAGAGAAUGAAAUAGUACAUGAAAUUGCUGAAAGGGAAACGAUUGAAGUUAGACUUGCGUAGCGGGUAUUCAGCCUUGACUUUGGUCUUGGUGUAUUUGCCUACUGUUGCAGGCCAGCAUCAGUUUACUUUGCGGUAUAAGGGUUUGAGAAACGUGGCUUCCUCGGGAGUGUUAUAGUCUCUUACUGGAUGCCGAAUCGUAGACUGAGGAACGCAGUGCGCCUUUUAGGCAAAGCUUUUUGGCUUUGAGCACUUAGGAUGCUAGUAGAAUAGCUUUAAACGACCCGUCUUGAA